RNAcentral lists this ribosomal RNA (497 nucleotides) under uncultured bacterium. RNAcentral's name for it is "partial 16S ribosomal RNA". It matches the Rfam family "Bacterial small subunit ribosomal RNA", at positions 28 to 507 of the family's 1533-position model. The record is from RNAcentral.
GAUGAACGCUGGCGGCGUGCCUAAUACAUGCAAGUCGAGCGAACAGACGAGGAGCUUGCUCCUUCGACGUUAGCGGCGGACGGGUGAGUAACACGUAGGUAACCUACCUAUAAGACUGGGAUAACUUCGGGAAACCGGAGCUAAUACCGGAUAAUAUUUCGAACCGCAUGGUUCGAUAGUGAAAGAUGGCUUUGCUAUCACUUAUAGAUGGACCUGCGCCGUAUUAGCUAGUUGGUAAGGUAACGGCUUACCAAGGCAACGAUACGUAGCCGACCUGAGAGGAUGAUCGGCCACACUGGAACUGAGACACGGUCCAGACUCCUACGGGAGGCAGCAGUAGGGAAUCUUCCGCAAUGGGCGAAAGCCUGACGGAGCAACGCCGCGUGAGUGAUGAAGGUCUUCGGAUCGUAAAACUCUGUUAUUAGGGAAGAAAAAACGUGUAAGUAACUGUGCACGUCUUGACGGUACCUAAUCAGAAAGCCACGGCUAACUACGUG